GACGAACGCUGGCGGCGUGCUUAACACAUGCAAGUCGAACGGAAAGGCCCUGCUUUUGUGGGGUGCUCGAGUGGCGAACGGGUGAGUAACACGUGAGUAACCUGCCCUUGACUUUGGGAUAACUUCAGGAAACUGGGGCUAAUACCGGAUAGGAGCUCCUGCUGCAUGGUGGGGGUGGGAUAGUUUAGGCGGUUGGGGAUGGACUAGCGGCUUAUCAGCUUGUUGGUGGGGUAGUGGCUUACCAAGGCUUUGACGGGUAGCCGGCCUGAGAGGGUGACCGGCCACAUUGGGACUGAGAUACGGCCCAGACUCCUACGGGAGGCAGCGGUGGGGAAUAUUGCACAAUGGGCGGAAGCCUGAUGCAGCAACGCCGCGUGCGGGAUGACGGCCUGCGGGUUGUAAACCGCUUUCGCCUGUGACGAAGCGUGAGUGACGGUAAUGGGUAAAGAAGCACCGGCUAACUACGUG
RNAcentral lists this ribosomal RNA (468 nucleotides) under uncultured bacterium. RNAcentral's name for it is "partial 16S ribosomal RNA". It matches the Rfam family "Bacterial small subunit ribosomal RNA", at positions 28 to 507 of the family's 1533-position model. The record is from RNAcentral.